CCUAAGGCUUCUGGAAUCGGUCCUGACAAGGUGUUGUAUGCCAGCCGGAUGGUGUUUAAGGAUGAAACAUUUCCUAAGGAUGCUGGAAUCCUUCCAGAAAGAAUAUUUCCAUUAAGGCCAAGAAGUUGCAGAGAGGUGGCUUUCUGGAAACGAGGGACAUUCCCUGAUAACAUGUUUUCACUUAGAUCUAGAAUGUUCAAGUUCAGGAUAUGGCCUAAGGCUUCUGGAAUCGGUCCUGACAAGUUGUUCUCUGCCAGCAGGAUGGUGUUUAAGGAUGAAACAUUUCCUAAGGAUGGUGGAACCCUUCCAGAAAGAACGUUUCCAGUAAG
Molecule: unclassified non-coding RNA, 329 nt
Filed under: Zea mays
Lineage: Eukaryota; Viridiplantae; Streptophyta; Magnoliopsida; Poales; Poaceae
Description: misc RNA Zm00001eb163620
Source: RNAcentral